GUGCUUGCUUCAGCAGCACAUAUACUAAAAUUGGAAUGACACAAAGAAGAUUAGCACGGCCCCUGUGCAAGGAUGACAUGCAAAUGUGUGAAGUGUUCCAUGUUUUU
This 107-nucleotide small nuclear RNA is filed under the name Balaenoptera musculus (blue whale). The record is from RNAcentral. Lineage: Eukaryota; Metazoa; Chordata; Mammalia; Artiodactyla; Balaenopteridae.